RNAcentral lists this ribosomal RNA (456 nucleotides) under uncultured bacterium. RNAcentral describes it as "bacterial SSU rRNA". It matches the Rfam family "Bacterial small subunit ribosomal RNA", at positions 340 to 786 of the family's 1533-position model. The record is from RNAcentral.
UACGGGAGGCAGCAGUGGGGAAUAUUGCACAAUGGGCGCAAGCCUGAUGCAGCCAUGCCGCGUGUAUGAAGAAGGCCUUCGGGUUGUAAAGUACUUUCAGUCGUGAGGAAGGUGUUAAGGUUAAUAACCUUAGCAAUUGACGUUAGCGACAGAAGAAGCACCGGCUAACUCCGUGCCAGCAGCCGCGGUAAUACGGAGGGUGCGAGCGUUAAUCGGAAUUACUGGGCGUAAAGGGCACGCAGGCGGUUAAUUAAGUUGGAUGUGAAAUCCCCGGGCUUUAACCUGGGAAUGGCAUUCAAGACUGGUUAGCUAGAGUCUUGUAGAGGGGGUAGAAUUCCAUGUGUAGCGGUGAAAUGCGUAGAGAUGUGGAGGAAUACCGGUGGCGAAGGCGGCCCCUGGACGAAAGACUGACGCUCAUGUGCGAAAGCGUGGGGAGGCAAACAGGGAUUAGAUACC